Molecule: ribosomal RNA, 491 nt
Filed under: Lineidae sp. N254
Lineage: Eukaryota; Metazoa; Nemertea; Pilidiophora; Heteronemertea; Lineidae
Description: partial large subunit ribosomal RNA
Rfam family: Bacterial large subunit ribosomal RNA
Source: RNAcentral
CAAAAACAUUGCUUGUUGAUUUUUAUAACAAGUACUUUCUGCCCGGUGAAUUUUAAACGGCCGCGGUACUCUGACCGUGCAAAGGUAGCAUAAUCAUUUGUCCUUUUAUUGGGGGCUGGAAUGAAGGGGAUUACGAAAUUUUAACUGUCUCUUUUUUUGUUUGAAAUUUGCUAUUUUUGUGAAGAAGCAAAGGUUUUAAAAAAAGACAAGAAGACCCUAUUAAGCUUUAUUUGUUACAUUGUGAUUUAUUGCUUAUAGGUAAAUAAUCAUAAUCAUAAAUUUGGUUGGGGUGACCAAAGAAGAAAAAAUCUUCUUUAUUUAUUUUAACUGUAGGUUAAAAAAGGAUCCAAAAAAUUUUGAUUAUAAGACUAAGUUACUAUAGGGAUAACAGCGUAAUUUUUUCAAGGAGUUCAUAUUUAAGAAGAAGAUUGCGACCUCGAUGUUGACUUGUUAUUUCCUAAAAAGGUGUAGAAGUUUUAAGGGUUGGUCUG